Molecule: ribosomal RNA, 875 nt
Filed under: uncultured archaeon
Lineage: Archaea
Description: bacterial SSU rRNA
Rfam family: Archaeal small subunit ribosomal RNA
Source: RNAcentral
CCUGACUGCUAUCGGAUUGAUACUAAGCCAUGCGAGUCUUUGUAGUAAUACAAGGCAGACGGCUCAGUAACACGUAGUCAACCUACCCUAUGGACGAGGAUAAUCUCGGGAAACUGAGGAUAAUACUCGAUAGAUCAUAAUGCCUGGAAUGGUUUAUGGUUAAAAUGAUUCGUCGCCAUAGGAUGGGACUGCGGCCUAUCAGCUUGUUGGUGAGGUAAUGGCCCACCAAGGCGAUUACAGGUACGGGCUCUGAGAGGAGAAGCCCGGAGAUGGGUACUGAGACAAGGACCCAGGCCCUAUGGGGCGCAGCAGGCGAGAAAACUUUGCAAUGUGCGAAAGCACGACAAGGUUAAUCCGAGUGAUUUCUGCUAAAGAGAUCUUUUACCAGUCAUAAAACCACUGGUGAAUAAGGGGUGGGCAAGUUCUGGUGUCAGCCGCCGCGGUAAAACCAGCACCUCAAGUGGUCAGGAUGAUUAUUGGGCCUAAAGCAUCCGUAGCCGGCUCUGUAAGUUUUCGGUUAAAUCCAUGUGCUCAACGCAUGGGCUGCCGAAAAUACUGCAUAGCUAGGGAGUGGGAGAGGUAGACGGUACUCAGUAGGAAGGGGUAAAAUCCUUUGAUCUAUUGAUGACCACCUGUGGCGAAGGCGGUCUACCAGAACACGUUCGACGGUGAGGGAUGAAAGCUGGGGGAGCAAACCGGAUUAGAUACCCGGGUAGUCCCAGCUGUAAACGAUGCAGACUCGAUGAUGCAUUGGCAUAUAGCCAGUGCAGUGUCGCAGGGAAGCCGUUAAGUCUGCCGCCUGGGAAGUACGUACGCAAGUAUGAAACUUAAAGGAAUUGGCGGGGGAGCACCACAAGGGGUGAAGCCUGCGGUUC